CGGCCUGCUUGGGGGACAUACUUCUUUAUAUGCCCAUAUGAACACGAGCAACUAUGGAAUGUAAAGAAGUAUGUAUCCCAGGUUGGGAGAAAUGAC
This is a microRNA precursor of Oryzias javanicus (javanese ricefish), 96 nucleotides long. Ensembl annotates it as microRNA 1-1. Its record names the gene mir1-1. NCBI's taxonomy places the organism in Eukaryota, Metazoa, Chordata, Actinopteri, Beloniformes, Adrianichthyidae. The record is from Ensembl.